UACGGAGGGUGCGAGCGUUGUCCGGAAUCACUGGGCGUAAAGGGCGCGUAGGCGGCCCGGUAAGUAGGAGGUGAAAUCCUGCGGCUUAACCGCAGGGCUGCCUUCUAAACUGCCAGGCUUGAGCACAGUAGAGGCAGGUGGAAUUCCGGGUGUAGCGGUGGAAUGCGUAGAGAUCCGGAAGAACACCGGAGGCGAAGGCGGCUUGCUGGGCUCGGUCUGACGCUGAGGCGCGAAAGCGUGGGGAGCGAACAGG
RNAcentral lists this ribosomal RNA (253 nucleotides) under uncultured bacterium. RNAcentral's name for it is "partial 16S ribosomal RNA". It matches the Rfam family "Bacterial small subunit ribosomal RNA", at positions 524 to 776 of the family's 1533-position model. The record is from RNAcentral.